UACGUAGGGUGCGAGCGUUGUCCGGAAUUAUUGGGCGUAAAGAGCUCGUAGGCGGUGUGUCACGUCGGCCGUGAAAACCUGGGGCUUAACUCUGGGCGUGCGGUCGAUACGGGCAUCACUAGAGUUCGGCAGGGGAGACUGGAAUUCCUGGUGUAGCAGUGAAAUGCGCAGAUAUCAGGAGGAACACCGAUGGCGAAGGCAGGUCUCUGGGCCGAUACUGACGCUGAGGAGCGAAAGCGUGGGGAGCGAACAGG
This 254-nucleotide ribosomal RNA is filed under the name uncultured bacterium. RNAcentral's name for it is "partial 16S ribosomal RNA". It matches the Rfam family "Bacterial small subunit ribosomal RNA", at positions 524 to 776 of the family's 1533-position model. The record is from RNAcentral.